This is a long non-coding RNA of Hemicordylus capensis (graceful crag lizard), 579 nucleotides long. RefSeq lists it as uncharacterized. Lineage: Eukaryota; Metazoa; Chordata; Lepidosauria; Squamata; Cordylidae. The record is from RefSeq and is a predicted model, not a curated record. The transcript has 3 exons.
CCCCCCUACUCCUGACAACACUCAUGAUUCACACAUGGGUUUCCUCACAGAAGUGAGAAGCAUGUUGGAAAUUGUCAUGUAUGAAGCGGGCCUGAAGAAAGAAGUACAACUGCUUCUUCAUGAGGGCUGUGAAGAGCGAUGCCUCACGAACUCUGAGGCAGUCGUUUGCGGCCUGCUCAGCUGCGGCUUGGGCCUACUUGGCCUCUGAGUUAUAGGGCUUCUCAUCUGCCGAGCGGGCACAAAUCAUCGAGGCCUGUCAGGAGUCAAAAUGGAGUGGGCCUGUUGCAAAAGUCCACCCUAGUUCUUUAACAAGAUUGAUGCCCAGCAGCCUCCCCAGGACAACUUCAGGUUCUCAGUAAAGUAUCACAGUAAACUUGUGGUAAAGCCUGCUGUGUGAAGAAUGCCCAGGAAAUCCUGAUCUACCAUCUGCCUAUCCCUAAUGGCACUUCUGGCGGAAGAAGAAAUCAGCAAAAAUUGCAUGAUAAUCACUGCGGAGCUCUGGAAACUCUCUCCAGCAAGGAUGCUUCUUCUCAGUGCGCAUCACCUUUAUCCUCCUGUAUUUUUUAACAUGUAACUUUU